Diceros bicornis minor is the source of this 2505-nucleotide long non-coding RNA. RefSeq lists it as uncharacterized. The transcript is spliced from 6 exons. Lineage: Eukaryota; Metazoa; Chordata; Mammalia; Perissodactyla; Rhinocerotidae. The record is from RefSeq and is a predicted model, not a curated record.
UGGGAAGUGAAGUGUGUGUGUGGGGGCGGCUGGGUGGAAUUCUAGUUUGUAAAGGGUACCCUUGAGAACUGGGAGUAAGAGGUAAGCAGCAGGCGUGGCUGUGUGUACAGAAGCGUGAUGUUAGCUCAAGGUGUGAGACCGGGCUGGAGCUUGCCAUGGGCAGGAGGCCAAGGCUUGGGACUGAGCUGGUCAAGUUGCAGAGGCUUAGAUCUGUGAAGCCUGAGGUUGAAAACUUGCUGACAACUCCUCGCCUGGGGAUGCCUCCCAUCUUUGUGCCACCCGUGGUCCCUUCCAGAUGUCAUCUCUCAUAGCCCUAGCAGCCUCUUAGGCUUUUUCUCUAGGUUACAAACUUCCUAAAGCCAGAAAUUAUCUUCUCAGAGCCUAGCCUUGUGCCUGCACGUAUUUGAUGCUCACAUUUCUAGCACAUACGAAGAAUUAGGGUCUUAGCCUCUUGGAAAAGACUUGGCCUUUAUUCCCUAUGGAAGAAAGGAAAGAAAUCCCCUGUGAACAUAACAUGGUAGAUGUUAAUUCUCUGUGUAAAGGAGAGAACAAAGCUGGGAGAACUGGACUGGAAGGUAGGAAGAAGAUGCUUCAACAAAACAACUGAUCUCUCUGUGACAGACAGUGGCUUGGUUUCAACAAGGACAUACUAAGUACAUAUAUUGGCCAAAUACUGCAUUAGAGGCCAGAGAUACGAAGGAAAAAAGUAAGUCUAAAUAGAAGUCACGUUUCCCUUCUCCAUCCACCCUAGCGCUCCAGUUGGGUGUGUGGGAAGGUGGAGACCCGGCCUGCAUGCUGGGCGCUGCGGGAGUCUGAGGGCCCAGGGACCUAGAGAAGUGAGAAGCAUUACCCAUCAAAAAAAAUUUAAAGAAUAAAGACAAUACAGAGUGUUGGAGAGCCAAUCCGAAAUCAGUUGAAAGGAGUGAACAUUUGUUGAUAACAUGAGUGUAAGCAGAUAGAGAGGGAACUUGUACUGAAAAAUUCUCCAAAUAUGGACAUAAUCUACUGGAGAGAAAGACGGGAGUAAUUCCAGCGUCGUCUUUACAGAAACACAGUGCAGCUACAUACAAUAACCGCCCUCCUAUGUGAACAAGCCCAGCAGUGGACACUGGUGGAUGAUCAUUGGUUACUGGGUUACAACACACCCAGUAACACCCUUUUACAGUUCAUUGUCACAACACACCCUCGGUGCUGGUAAGAGGAUGAUUCAACAAAAAGUGAAGAACCCAGGAUACUAGGACAGUGUCAGAUCUGGAAAUGCAAUUCCAGCACAAGUUCCUUUCCCCACAGCAGCUUAGCAACCUCACGUCUCUCCAAGGUAGAGAGGAAAAUCAAGUCGAACAGGCCUUCCUGAAGACAAGGUGUGAAAUACCAGAUGUCAUCUUUGUUCCUGGUGAUGACAUGAAACUUCAUCCCAAAUAGCCCUAGGAAAAGCCACUUGUUUUGGAGCAAGAAGGGCUCAUGAUUCAAAUCAUCUCUCCACUAAGAAAGAAACUGCCGAAGAGAUGGCUAUAUAAAGUACUUCCUGGUUCAAAGGGAGGGCUCUGGAGUCAGAAGUCUUGAAUUCGAAUCCCACCUCUGAAAUGUACCAGCUGUGUGACCUUAAGUAAGUAACUGCACUUUUCUGGCCUCCUUGUCCUCUCUGUUAAUGGUAGGUGCUAAACGAACUCAUUGAACUGGUGAUGAGAUUAAACGUGAUAACGCAUAUAACGCACCUAUACAAGGUCUGACGCUGACUGUGUAUUCAGGAAGUGUGAGCUGUUUGCAUAUGCUAGAUCAUUAAUGUCAUUUUCACGUAUGUGGUCGUGAAGGGGUGGGAGGUUCCAGGAAGGUGUUUGAAGCCCUUUUGGUGCCCAGUUUCUUUACUCUGCAUAGGUUGACCCACAACAUGCCUUGGGUGACUCGGCCUGCUUCCCUGCCAGGCUGGUGUCCCAUUCCCUUAUAUCCUUUGCUGAUCCGCCAAUCAAUCUGGUAAACUAAUCAUCACUGAGAUGUUAGACUUUAUUGACUUUCUGACUCGGAGACGUGGCUUAAGAAGUGUACUUCCAGCUGGGAGCAGCUGGGGCCUUUCAGCAGCCUUCAGGUAACACGUCUUUCCACGCAGGCAGCCUGGGCUAUGGCUUCCAUAUUAAUUGGCUGCCUUGCACUAGCGGCUGGUUGUCAUGCUCCGGGGACCUUGUGCACAUUUAUGACACCCGUCUUUCUGCUUCCCUACCUUUCCUCUCCCUUCCCUCCCGGAUCAGAGUGAAACAGGGCUCAUUAAAGCUUUAGAGGGACGGUGUCAAUGGAGAACUUCAGGAGCUUGGCCUGGAGAAGAAUAAUUAGUCAAGAUGGGCUGCAUGCUCUGGAAGACUUUAGAUGGCCACUAAAUCCGUGGGUGUUUAACAGUUAUUGCUUCCCCAUAUUCCUCAAGCUGCUGUUUUGUCAAUUUUAGGAAGACUGGGGGAAAAGUCCUGUAAAUAUUUAUUUUCUACCACAUAACAUAUUUCCUAUUUGACUUGAAAA